AACGAACGCUGGCGGCAGGCUUAACACAUGCAAGUCGAACGCUCCGCAAGGAGAGUGGCAGACGGGUGAGUAACGCGUGGGAACGUGCCUUUUGGUUCGGAACAACUUCGGGAAACUGGAGCUAAUACCGAAUGUGCCCUUCGGGGGGAAGAUUUAUCGCCAAAAGAUCGGCCCGCGUCAGAUUAGCUAGUUGGUGGGGUAAUGGCCUACCAAGGCGACGAUCUGUAGCUGGUCUGAGAGGAUGAUCAGCCACACUGGGACUGAGACACGGCCCAGACUCCUACGGGAGGCAGCAGUGGGGAAUCUUGGACAAUGGGCGCAAGCCUGAUCCAGCCAUGCCGCGUGAAUGAUGAAGGCCUUAGGGUUGUAAAGCUCUUUUACCCGAGAUGAUAAUGACAGUAUCGGGAGAAUAAGCUCCGGCUAACUCCGUGCCAGCAGCCGCGGUAAUGUGACUACUG
Molecule: ribosomal RNA, 458 nt
Filed under: uncultured bacterium
Lineage: Bacteria
Description: bacterial SSU rRNA
Rfam family: Bacterial small subunit ribosomal RNA
Source: RNAcentral